This 489-nucleotide ribosomal RNA is filed under the name uncultured bacterium. RNAcentral describes it as "partial 16S ribosomal RNA". It matches the Rfam family "Bacterial small subunit ribosomal RNA", at positions 30 to 506 of the family's 1533-position model. The record is from RNAcentral.
AUUGAACGCUGGCGGCAGGCCUAACACAUGCAAGUCGAACGGUAACAGGAAGAAGCUUGCUUCUUUGCUGAUGAGUGGCGGACGGGUGAGUAAUGUCUGGGAAACUGCCUGAUGGAGGGGGAUAACUACUGGAAACGGUAGCUAAUACCGCAUAACGUCGCAAGACCAAAAAGGGGGACCUUCGGGCCUCUUGCCAUCGGAUGUGCCCAGAUGGGAUUAGCUAGUAGGUGGGGUAACGGCUCACCUAGGCGACGAUCCCUAGCUGGUCUGAGAGGAUGACCAGCCAAACUGGAACUGAGACAGGGUCCAGCCUCCUAGGGGAGGCAGCAGGGGGGAAUAUGGCACAAGGGGCGAAAGCCGGAUGCAGCCAUGCCGGGUGUAUGAAGAAGGCCUUCGGGUUGUAAAGUACUUUCAGGGGGGAGGAAGGGGGUAAAGUUAAUACCUUUGCUCAUUGACGUUACCCGCAGAAGAAGCCCCGGCUAACCCCGU